Molecule: ribosomal RNA, 499 nt
Filed under: uncultured bacterium
Lineage: Bacteria
Description: partial 16S ribosomal RNA
Rfam family: Bacterial small subunit ribosomal RNA
Source: RNAcentral
GACGAACGCUGGCGGCGUGCUUAACACAUGCAAGUCGAACGGGCCUGUCUUCUUUUUUGGGGGUGGGUUGAGUGGCGAACGGGUGAGUAUCACGUGAGUAACCUGCCCUUCGGUCCUGGAUAACCGCUUGAAAGGGCGGCUAAUACGGGGUGGUCCGGUUGGUCCGCAUGGGCUGGUCGGGAUAGAUUCACUGUUUUUGGUGUUUCGGCGGGGGAUGGGCUCGCGGCCUAUCAGCUUGUUGGUGGGGUGAUGGCCUACCAAGGCGGUGACGGGUAGCCGGCCUGAGAGGGUGGGCGGCCACACUGGGACUGAGAUACGGCCCAGACUCCUGCGGGAGGCAGCAGUGGGGGGGAUUGCACAGUGGGCGGAAGCCUGAUGCAGCGACGUCGCGUGAGGGAUGGAGGCCUUCGGGUUGUGAACCUCUGUUUCCGGUGGUGAAGGCCCUGUCCGUGUGGUGGGGUUGACGGUAGCCGGGGAUGAAGCGCCGGCUAACUACGUG